This is an RNA transcript of Pseudophryne corroboree (corroboree frog), 1207 nucleotides long. RefSeq lists it as uncharacterized. The record is from RefSeq and is a predicted model, not a curated record. The transcript has 4 exons. Lineage: Eukaryota; Metazoa; Chordata; Amphibia; Anura; Myobatrachidae.
ACAAUGAGUCAAUGAGGCUCAUUAUUUACAGCGGGCUGGCAGUCCUCAACUAACGCCGAACUGCUGAGAUGCUGACUGCCUUCUAUCACUCACAAGCUAAGGCUGGUGUUAGUAUUACAGGGUGUAGUAUUCUAGCUCUAUCUAGGGUCCGCCUCUCACAGCAGCACGGUCUCCUGUCAGCUGGGUGAUGACUCUUGUCUUCAGCUGCACCUCCGUUGUAAGAUCCACCUCGAGAAAUUGCUCUACCCACCUGCCGGGCUUUCACCUGUGCUGGGAUCCGGUCAUGCUGCGGUGCCCACGCAGCCACUAAUUAUGCUCACUCCACUUAGAUGCAGCUCACAGACAGCUGCCAUCAGCGGAACACAAGCAGUGUGACCCGUUCCUGCCACAGCCACCUCAGAGCUCCCAACGGUUGAUGCCGACAUAAGAAGAUCAUCCGCACACCUUUUAUCUACAUUUAUCUCUCCCUCUUAACAACUGCUGCUGCUCUUACAUAGUUACUGUACCUCCAUAUUGGGCAGUUCCGGGUCUCUAAUAUACAUUCGAUGAGACCGCCCUACAUGGCAUCCGCAGCAGUGCUUCCUUGCCAACCGCCCCAACAUGACUUGCAGUUUUCUCAACCCGUCUGUCUUCAACUGGUGACGUCAUUAUGCCGGCACCCCCUGGGUGGCUGCGGCAUCUUACACACAAUGUGCUACUGUAUGGCUGAAGUGGACAUCUUUACAGGAUGUAUACAGGAUCUUUACAGGAUGUGGACAAGGCCAUUUUCCUAAGAUUCCAUUUCAUGUUUUACUGACUUCGUUUGAUACUCACAAUCAAGAUGAUGGGAGUGUGGUUCACGUCUUGGAGGUGUGUCCAAAAUUUGGAGUGGGGGGACCGAACAUACUGUCAAUAAUCUUUGUGCUGGGGUAUCCUGCUGUGGUUGGCCCUAGACAUCAGACCUUGCUCUCUUUGCUGCCACAUGUUUUUUUUGGUGGUGUGUUACAGAAGUCCGACUUCUGCUGCUCCAGACUUCUUUUGAUGGACCUAGUAUUGAAAGUAAAAUUUUGUUAUGGCCAUUCCUUUACAAAUAUACCCUAUACUACAAUGGACACUUUACCUGCUUCCACAGCGUCAUCAUCAUCAGAUGUCAUGGGAGUUACUGUAGGACGACCAGUACUGCUUUUUUCCAACACUGUAAAACCAAAAUAAAAAAUCAUGUAUUCAU